GGAGCUCCUGCGUCCGGGAGGACUGACCGUGACCUCCACCUCCGGGGGCGGGAGCAGCACCGCGGGGGCUGCCAGGUGCCAGUGACACUGCAAAUAAAUGGUUCUUUGCAAGAUGGCUGAGGCAAUGUUUUCAUGGAUUAUUCUCUAAGGUUUACUGUUGCAGAGAAAUGUCUGUGUGAAUGAAUCAAAGAAAGACCUCUACUAAAU
Eptesicus fuscus (big brown bat) is the source of this 207-nucleotide long non-coding RNA. RefSeq lists it as uncharacterized. Lineage: Eukaryota; Metazoa; Chordata; Mammalia; Chiroptera; Vespertilionidae. The transcript has 3 exons. The record is from RefSeq and is a predicted model, not a curated record.